CGUGAAGUGGGAUCCAGGACAAACCGCUGCGUGUUCAUCGAUGAAAUCAGGUCUGGCGAGGGAAACGUGAUUUUCUGUAAUUCUCCAGGAAGGAAAGUCAUAGUUCGUACUUUGGGAGAGUACACAGAUUUGAGACGACAG
Molecule: long non-coding RNA, 141 nt
Organism: Cyprinus carpio (common carp)
Lineage: Eukaryota; Metazoa; Chordata; Actinopteri; Cypriniformes; Cyprinidae
Exons: 2
Source: RefSeq, a predicted model, not a curated record